Molecule: ribosomal RNA, 253 nt
Filed under: uncultured bacterium
Lineage: Bacteria
Description: partial 16S ribosomal RNA
Rfam family: Bacterial small subunit ribosomal RNA
Source: RNAcentral
UACGUAGGGUGCAAGCGUUGUCCGGAAUUAUUGGGCGUAAAGAGCUCGUAGGCGGUUUGUCGCGUCGACUGUGAAAACCCGAGGCUUAACCUCGGGCCUGCAGUCGAUACGGGCAGACUAGAGUUCGGUAGGGGAGACUGGAAUUCCUGGUGUAGCGGUGAAAUGCGUAGAUAUCGGGAAGAACACCAGUGGCGAAGGCGCUCUACUGGGCCACAACUGACGCUGAGGGACGAAAGCUAGGGGAGCGAAAGGG